Molecule: long non-coding RNA, 694 nt
Organism: Apis mellifera (honey bee)
Lineage: Eukaryota; Metazoa; Arthropoda; Insecta; Hymenoptera; Apidae
Exons: 3
Source: RefSeq, a predicted model, not a curated record
UCGAAAGAGGAGGGAUGCGCGGAAGAGGCAAGUGGCUGCAAUGAAUUUGCAUUGAAAGUGGCUCUUAAACGAUUUCUCCCACCCAACUGAUCCACCCUCGGCUGUGUCUUCGAUACUACGUUAACCUCUAAGCAGAUUGCAAGGCAAAUUUCUUACAAAUUUGAUUUAGAUAUUUCACAUCUGCACUCCAACAAGUAAAGAAAUAUUCGUUUAUGCAACUUCUUAUACGUGAAGAAAGCAAGAAGAAACGAUUAUGCGUGUGCACAAUUAUUCUAACCUCUCUUUGGAAAUCAUUUUGAUCACGUGUCAAGUUCAUAGGUUUAUUGAGGUUUAUUUUCAAAGAAUUCAAUGCUUAUCAGGAUUGAUCGCAUACCUGGCAUGACGAGGCAUGCGUCGCCACAAUAAUUACCGGGGGAUGCGUGUCUUUACGCAUAGGGCCCACGUGGAGGGGUUGUGUAGAGGGUGGCACACACAACUUACGGCUCCAACUAUGAUUCACCUGAGCCAUCGUGUUACUAUAGUUACAUAUUUGGUAGUUACUGAUGAGAAGGCUAAAAUUUUCGUUUUGCCAUUUUUUGCACUGGAAAAGUAUAGAAAUUAAUGAGAAUCUAAAGGAGGGAGAUCAGAAAGAAUAUGCAUAUUCUUAAUAUUAUUGGAAAAUGUUUAUGAAAUAUUGACAAUGUAUAAAUGUUUA